Molecule: long non-coding RNA, 5509 nt
Filed under: Gallus gallus (chicken)
Lineage: Eukaryota; Metazoa; Chordata; Aves; Galliformes; Phasianidae
Description: long non-coding RNA NONGGAT008554
Source: RNAcentral
CAAGAUUCUGAUGAAGGCAUUCUGUAAGUGGAAUAGUAUAAAUCUAUAUAAAUUAUGUUUUGCUGCCUGGAAUUAAGACACAAGAUGCUACUGAAAUUUUCAACUUUACACUUUUAAUCAAGUUUUAGCAGUUGUACUGUUGCGUGGUUUUAUAGGAAACUCCAUCAUGGGGCGACUUUUUACAAAGUGGGAGAACUCAUCUGCACACACACGAGCUGCAGAUGUCAGGAUGGUGAGAAUUACUUUUCCAGUUAAUACAUAUAUAUAUUAUUAUUCCAAAGCAAGAUUUAAAUUUUAAUACUGUAAUUUGUGUCAGUAUUCCCAAUCACUACUCAGUAACAUAUUCCAGGAAAACAUGCAGUAGAACUUAUAAAAAAACCUUUACAGAUACAAGUCUCUGUUAGAGGAAGAUAAUUCCUGAUCUCUGUUGUUCCUGAAUGAACCGUUGUUCUAUUUCUCAGCUCUGCUUAAUACAAACAGCUAGUUAAUUAUGGCUAAAAAUUCUUAUCUUUUUCACCUUCACAGUUUCUGUAAAAAAUAAUUUCCAAAGGCAUCGCUGUGCCUUUAUGAAAAAAGAAACAAACACGUUAUCUGUCAUUGUCUCAGUAGAAGUGAUUUAAAUAACUGUGCCUAUCAAUUAACUGUAGAAUUUUACAUUGAUUUAUCUAAAGCAUUUAUUGAUAUUCAAAAUCUAUUUGGCAGCUUUGAUCAGAGAAGUGAGUGCAGGAGAACUGAGAGUUACCAGGUUAUAUUCCUCAUCUGAGUUACUUAUUUCCUUACUGUUGUGAAGCUGCUGCCUUUGUGAGCACCUGCUUAAUUGGUUUUACUGGAAGGGUACUGCUACGUCAAGCUGAGGGCUCCAUGUGUUCGCUCUGUAGCCAGGGGCAACCCUGCCUCUUCCAGCAACGUAGCUGAAGUAGGCAUGGAAUGAAGUGGGGCAAAGGGUCAAGGUUUUGUACCCAGGAGGAGGGUAUCUACUGUAGUCCUCCUUAGAGCAGAACGUCAGGAGGAAUUUGAAUGCUUCAAUAAUACACCUUUAUGCUUGGGAUUGUUUUUUAAGUCAGACAGCUUACCUCAAGAAGUGGCAGUUUCCAGAACAUCAGAAUGGAAUCUUCCUUGACUGCUAAUUAAGGGAGGGGCAGGACUGUGCAGUCUGACUGCAGGUGGUGGCAAUUUCCCAACUCACCAGUGAACAUCUUCCUAUUUUCAGGCUUUCUCUCCCUUUGCAGCGGGCUAAAAACUAUUUCCUGAAUGCAUUAGCUUAUGCUUAGUCCCCUCCCUGUGCCUGAUCAAUUGCUUAACCAGAAAGCGACAUAGGUUUAAGGUACUGCGUAACUCACGGUACUGUAGAGCACGUUCUAGCACAGAGGGGUACCAACAUACACAUACCUACUGCAGAGUAUUUGUUCAGAUAAAUAGUCUUUGAAAUGUAGUAUCACAGUAAUUCAGCUAAUCGGGGCUCCAGUGGUAACAAGCUUAUAGUAUGCUCCUUCCAUUGCCAUUAGUUCAUCAUGAGUGCCCCUUUCAAUGAUGAUUCCUUGUGACAUCACAGCAAUGAUGUCAGCAUUCUCGAUUGUGGAAAGGCGGUGGGCAAUGACGAUGCAGGUGCGCCCUUCUCUGGCCUUAUCCAGCGCUGCUUGCACAGUCUAAAAGCAACAAAGAAAGCAUCAGAGUGAAAAUGGGCAAAUCAAAUUAGGGCUCAGAGCUGGAGAGAUCUGAUUGCUUCAGACUAAUUAACUAUAUUGUACAAUACUUGUACAAAAAAGGGAAAGAUAAAAAUAGAGUAAAAAUUAAACAGCAAGGAAAAUCUUUUUUUCAGCUGACAUGCUCAGCUUGGAUGUGCUUCUAAAUUUCUACCAUUUCUCUAAUCUCCAAGCAUGACCAAGCCAAGGAAUUUAUUGCCCAGCUCUUAGGCCCUGCACUGCUGGUUUUAUUGGAUAUUCAGACUCAUCAUUUGUAUGCUUGAAUACACUUCUGUUGUGAUUUAGGUUGUUUUUAUGUGCAAAAGCUGAAAGAUUCCCACUGAAUGCUGUGAGACCCAGGGAAUUAGUAUGCACAGUACAUAGAAAGUGCUGCUUCUUAAUGACAGUUUAAGAGUCUCUGUAGCUGGCUGUUGACUUUAUAGCCAUGCUUCCUGGAUCUUUCAAAAAGAUCAUUAAAAGUGUAAGUGCUGAAUUAGCAAUGGGGAAUAAUGCUGUGGUCAUGUGGUCUUUGUACAGCAGGAGGUCUCCACAAAAAAGAAGGCAGCAUUGUACCUUGUAAGCCAUUGCAUUAAUUUUCCCUUAUUUCGUAUUGCAAAUUUACCUUUUCACUUUCUGUGUCUAAUGCAGAUGUAGCUUCAUCCAAUAAUAAAAUUUUAGGAUCUCGAAUGAUGGCCCUCGCUAUAGCAAUGCGUUGUUUUUGCCCACGAGACAGCUGAGAUCCUUGAGCACCAACAUUAGUUUCAUAUUUCUGAAAAAUAUGCAAAAGGAAGAUCUUUAUGUAGCUGUAAACAAACAAGUACACAAACUGAAGGAGCAGCAGGAGGAGAGAGGCCGGAGCUCUCACCAUUGCUGUCUCUUAAUGAAUCUGGGAAGACAGAAAUGCUUUAAGAGCAAUACAGAUGUUCAAGGACAUAUCUUUGAACCAGCUUUGUAGUGCCGUAACAGGCCUAAAAAAUUCAAUGGCAAGAUGAUGGCUGAUUUGUCUGAAGCAAAAGAAAUCCCUGACCUAGAUUUGGGAGAAGAGGCUAAAAGUGAUUGUGGGGCUCACUGGACAAGUGUUUUGUUUGCAAGCCUAAAUUAUAUACAUAUCUUUCAUGUUCUUAUUUUUUUUUGUCUGUAUGAUUUCAGUGCAUUUAAAUACCUCUCCAGUGCACAUAAGCAGCCAGCUUCAAGUGUUUUGACUGAGGUACUGUACCUUUAUUGCAGGGCAGCACUCCCACAGCUGAGAACAGGAUCUGUAUUUCCUGACACUCUGUAACACUGUGACUGCUGAACUAUACUUCCUCUUUUUUCUUGUCAGUUACUUUGAGAAUCUUCCCUUUUCUCCUAAUUUAGAAUUAUGUUAUUUUUAGCUUCAUAAAUGUUUGCCUACUGUGUAAAGAAAACAGUAACAACUCACACCCAAGCUCUCCGAAACAGAGUGGUCUUUUCUCCUACCAUUCUAGUUGUAAAGCAAGACAUAAAAUAUUAACUGCAGCAAUUUUAACCGGUUUUGGUGCAACUCUCUGCAGUGACCGCUGAGCAGCCUGUCCCACAGCCAAGCCUCAGGUGUACUUACUUCAGGAAGUGACAUGACAAAAUCAUGCAGCUGAGCCUUCUUCGCUGCUUCUAUGACUUUUUCCAUUGUCGUGUCCUUGGUGUUACUGCCGUACUUAAUGUUGUCAGCGAUGCUGCAGUCGAAUAGCACAGGCUCCUGCGACACUACUCCAAUUUUCGAUCUGAGAAACUGUACAUUUACUUUCUUGGUGUCGUGUCCAUCUAUUAACUACCAGGAAAUAGAAUAAAAUGUAAAAUAUUAUUCCAAAAUGAUCUGCAAAGCCCAGUUAGUUUAUAGCAUAAGUAAAUGAUUUAUUACUAAACUACAAGCAAGACUGACUUGAGGUAAGUUGAAGUAUCUGUUACAUUUGACCUCUUUAUACAUGAUGAAUACUUUCCAGCUGUGUCUGUGAUUCAGACAAACUCUAAACCAUUUGCUUACUCUUAUCUCCAGCUGAACUUUUGACUGCCUCAGGUUAGGCACAGGUUUUGCUGCCUUGACAGGCUUAAUCAUCACCACUCAUAUUUUUGUCAAAUAAUGAGAUAGCAUACUGGAUGAUUCAGUUUUUACGAGGAAGAGUUAUAAAAGCUAGAUAAACAUAAUCUGCAAAGAAGCUGCAUGUUGAAACUAUAUAUUAUUUAGUGAUGUUCCAGAUUGUGUUGCUUCAGUCAAGCUUGAUUCUUGUUUGUGUUCCCACAACAUCAGCCACACAUUGCAUGAUUCAUACAGGAGCUACCAACACAAUUUCCUGAGGCCUAUAUAAUGCAGGAGGUUGCACCCAAGGUGAGUACUGUUCUUAUUUUGCCUGAGUACAUCUGAGAUGAUACGCAGAGUUUGAACAGGCCUCAUUUGAGAAGGAGCUGAAAACCCAAACUGCACGUGUAGAGACACACUGCUAGGUUCCACGUUUGGACACACUCAGAAGAGUCCUUGCAGCAUUGCUGAAGACAACAGUACAGAAAUCAUGUUUUCUUUGCUUACCACACUUCCUUCCUCAGGAUCAUAGAAACGCUCCAGAAGCUGGACACUGGUGCUCUUACCACAGCCGCUACUGCCAACAAAUGCCAAUGUCUGUCCAGGCUUAACAGCUACAGAGAGUCCUUUCAGGACCUGAAUAUCAGGCCGCGAGGGUGCUCAUGAAAUUAGCCUAGAAAGAGGCAUUAGAAACUUACUGGCACAGCUGUUCUACAAGGUGAAGUCAUUAGUCAUUAAACUGAUGCUCUACUGCCCAUCCCUGUGCUACACCAGCCAGAAGCAACAACUGUGGGAUUACCUUGCCAACUGGAAGCCGGUCGAUGAGUUGAAACAAACGUGCAGCAGAUGUUUUGGCUUUGGCGUAGUUCGGGGUGUAGGAAGAAGCUCUUCCCAAAGCAGUCCCACUGGUCACGAUUGCAGAGAUCACUCUGCAGAAAAGGUGGACGUGGUUACUCUUGGGCAGCCAUCGGGAAGCUGCGCGCUCCGCCUGGACCAGCACCUCUGGAGAGGAGGUCUGUGCCCGGCCCCAUGCAGGCUCCUACCUGAACACAAAGCUGUAAUGGAGCCCUUCAGUUUGAACCAGAAAUCCUCCAUAUCUGUAAGAGACAGAGUUGGCUAUGAACACUAUACUCUGGGCAAAGCCAAAGCAGAUUCCAUAAACGUUUGCUUUUUUGAUUGCAGCUCUGUAUGGCAUAUCCAGGUUCUUCUCAAAAGCAUCAAUGAACUUUUUUUCUUUCCCUAUCCCAGCCACAGUUCUGAUGUUAGAGAGGGCUUCACUGGAAAUCUGGAGGAGGAAAAAAAACAACAAAAAAGUAAAAUCACCCUGCUUAUCUCAAGUAAUUUUACUCAGAAAUUGGUUUAACAAUGCUGUCGUUUGCCUGGAGUUCAAUAGUAGUUUCAGGGUAUGACAUUUCCUGUAUUUUCAGCAUACACGUGUUUUUAUCACAUAGAAAGAGAUCUCAAUAUAUAAACCAUUACAAAGUAUGCCAUUCAAUUUCAGGGUAUUUCUUCUGGUCAAAAUUAAGGGUCACAUCCAUUGCAUUAUCACACAACUUGAAGCAGCAGAUAAUUAGGUACAGUGCAUUUGAUUGUUCAGACAAUCUGUUCUGCUUUUCCAUGUUUAACAUGGCUGAGGAACAGUCACAGUGGAGGAACAUUAAGCUUUUUUUGUUUGGAUGCAAUGCUUGAAAAUGAAUUAGAAAAUAGCACCAGACAUAAUCAGUCAUUGCCAAAACUGCUGAAGCAUUGAGUGCCCUUUUUAUCCCAGCCUCUGAGUUGUUCUAUUUAAUAAAAG